This 240-nucleotide long non-coding RNA is filed under the name Mytilus galloprovincialis (Mediterranean mussel). The record is from RNAcentral. Lineage: Eukaryota; Metazoa; Mollusca; Bivalvia; Mytilida; Mytilidae.
UUUGUGUUCUUCAACAAUGAUGACCGGUUUUUCUCUAUCAGACUCUAUGUUCCUGAAUGGUAUAUCGGACAUCUUGACUCGUGAAAAAAUAUUCUAUUACUAAACAAUUUAUUUUUUGGUGAGUUAAGUGGAAAGGUUAAUUAUAGUACAUGUAUGAUAUAGGUAAAACAUGUACAGGUAUGAUGUAGGUAAAACAUAUUUACAGGUAAAUGUGGCGCAAUUUCAUUUCAUUUAUUGGCG